CAGUCGCCACGGGAAUACGGAGGGAGCUAGCGUUAUUCGGAAUUACUGGGCGUAAAGCGCACGUAGGCGGCUUUGUAAGUUAGAGGUGAAAGCCUGGAGCUCAACUCCAGAAUUGCCUUUAAGACUGCAUCGCUUGAAUCCAGGAGAGGUGAGUGGAAUUCCGAGUGUAGAGGUGAAAUUCGUAGAUAUUCGGAAGAACACCAGUGGCGAAGGCGGCUCACUGGACUGGUAUUGACGCUGAGGUGCGAAAGCGUGGGGAGCAAACAGGAUUAGAUACCCCCGUAGUCCCUGUCUCUUAUAC
RNAcentral lists this ribosomal RNA (301 nucleotides) under uncultured bacterium. Its description in RNAcentral is "partial 16S ribosomal RNA". It matches the Rfam family "Bacterial small subunit ribosomal RNA", at positions 509 to 807 of the family's 1533-position model. The record is from RNAcentral.